RNAcentral lists this ribosomal RNA (466 nucleotides) under Bactrocera melas. RNAcentral's name for it is "partial large subunit ribosomal RNA". It matches the Rfam family "Bacterial large subunit ribosomal RNA", at positions 1847 to 2568 of the family's 2925-position model. Lineage: Eukaryota; Metazoa; Arthropoda; Insecta; Diptera; Tephritidae. The record is from RNAcentral.
AAAGUCUGACCUGCCCACUGAAAUUAUUUAAAUGGCCGCAGUAUUCUAACUGUGCAAAGGUAGCAUAAUCAUUAGUCUUUUAAUUGAAGGCUGGUAUGAACGGUUGGACGAGGUAUAAGCUGUUUCAUAUAAAUUUAUAAUAGAAUUUUAUAUUUUAGUCAAAAAGCUAAAAUUUAAUUAAAAGACGAGAAGACCCUAUAAAUCUUUAUAUUUUAAGUUGUUUAAAUUUUUUAGAUUAAUUUUAUUUUUAUAAUUUAGAGUAUUUUGUUGGGGUGAUAUUAAAAUUUGAUGAACUUUUAGUUGUUAAAAAUCAUUAAUUUAUGAGUUAUUGAUCCAUUAAUAGUGAUUAUAAGAUUAAGUUACUUUAGGGAUAACAGCGUAAUUUUUUUGGAGAGUUCAUAUCGAUAAAAAAGUUUGCGACCUCGAUGUUGGAUUAAGAUAUAUUUUUAGGUGUAGCCGCUUAAAU